Molecule: ribosomal RNA, 253 nt
Filed under: uncultured bacterium
Lineage: Bacteria
Description: partial 16S ribosomal RNA
Rfam family: Bacterial small subunit ribosomal RNA
Source: RNAcentral
UACAGAGGGUGCGAGCGUUGUCCGGAAUCACUGGGCGUAAAGGGCGCGUAGGUGGCGACCCAAGUCGAUGGUGAAAGCUCGCCGCUCAACGGCGAGUCGGCCACCGAUACUGGGUUGCUGGAGCACUGUAGAGGCAGAUGGAAUUCCGGGUGUAGCGGUGGAAUGCGUAGAGAUCCGGAAGAACACCCGUGGCGAAGGCGGUUCUCUGGGACGGUACUGACGCUGAGACGCGAAAGCGUGGGGAGCGAACAGG